Prunus avium (sweet cherry) is the source of this 376-nucleotide non-coding RNA. The record is from RefSeq and is a predicted model, not a curated record. NCBI's taxonomy places the organism in Eukaryota, Viridiplantae, Streptophyta, Magnoliopsida, Rosales, Rosaceae.
GCUAGAGUUGUUGGAGAGGUUCUAGGAAAAUUUCAUCCCCAUGGUGACACUGCUGUCUAUGAUUCCUUGGUGCGAAUGGCUCAGGCAUCCAUGGCUGGAAAUUAAGUACCAAAGAGCUUUUGAGGGAUGGAACAAUCAAUUGGGAGAAUGGAAGCUCAACAUCAUUGAUAAUUCUUUGAAUGGACAAGCACCAUCAGUUGCUGCCUCUUUUCAUGUUCUAUCUCUAUGUUUAUUUGCUGUAUAUACUAGGCGAUGCCCCUAAAUGUCUUUAAUAAAAUUUCAUUACUUCUUUUUUGGAAAAAAAAAUCCUCGUAUCAAAUAAUUCCAGCUUUCUGGAUUCUAGUCCAUUUGUUUUUGAACCUUUUGUCUUUGUAAA